UGGUUAGUGCAUACAAUACUCCCCCUUUUUAGCCAUAAUCUGACAAAGGUAAGCAUCUAACGAUAAACUGAUAAAACCAUAUUCAUAAAGUACAAGAUCCCACACAAGGGGGCAACUAAGGGUGCAAAAUAUCCUGGUCACAUACCAAAACCAAAAACAAAAAACAAAAAAAACAAGACUGCAAUCAGAUAUCUUCCUGACUAUCUGAGUCAGCUGUUGUA
RNAcentral lists this long non-coding RNA (221 nucleotides) under Lathyrus oleraceus (garden pea). RNAcentral's name for it is "Pisum sativum (pea) long non-coding RNA (PSAT_LNC001720)". Lineage: Eukaryota; Viridiplantae; Streptophyta; Magnoliopsida; Fabales; Fabaceae. The record is from RNAcentral.